AAAAACUGAAAAAACAGAUAUUUUUUGUUUUUAAUAAUUGGGGUGUUUUUUUAGUUGUUCUUGAGUUUGAGUUUUUAAAAAUAGGCCUACCAAACAGGUUUUCUUUGUUUUAGACUAAAAUUUUGUUUUUGUUUUUGUUUUUUUUGUUUUUUUUUUUUGAGGUUCUUUCCUAUUGAAAGGGGCGAUAGCAUAUUAAACUCACACACACAACACGGAUGUUAGGACUCGAACCCAGAACCUUGCCUGAGGAAGUAAAUACUCCAAACCACUACACUAGUGGGUCAUUUGCUAAAAUUUUAUUUUUUAAUUUAAAAAGAUAGAUUCAAUUUAAUAACCAAAUAGACCUAAGCUACCUAGAUAAAUUUGAUAUAGGGGGGAAUAAAAGGGAAAGUAAAUUACACAUAUCAUAUCAAAUCAAGGCAGACAACGAGAAUAAAAAAAAAAAGAAUAUAUCAAGAAGUAUCAAGGACCACAACCAUAUCACAUGUCAAAUUUAACCUUGGGAAGAAUUCGAGAAGGUUAAUUGAGAAUCUUACAAGUACUAUUGUAAAUAAUAGUGGACCACAACCAGAAAAAAUAUAUGCAUGUUGAAGAUUGAAUUUGAGGUUAAUUAAUUGAGAAUCUUAUGCUUUUACGAUAUUGAAAGAGGGAGGAAUCGAAUCUAGGACUUCGGGUAUGAUGAUAAAUGCUCUUAAUUAUUUGAUCGCUACAAAUCUCUUACUUUUUUAUUUUAUUUUUAAAAUAAGAAUGAAUAAAAAAAUUCUUAAAGCCUAUUCAAAUUUUCUAUCAAGAAAAUAAAAUAAAAUUCUUAAGUUUCACCAAAACCAAAUAUUUGCUUAACCUAUUACGAAAUCAAUCAAUUCAAGUUGUUCUUUUUAUUUUUUGGGAGAGGAGAGAGACUUGUCUGGCCUAAGGAAUGGGAGACCAAACUACGGAGAUGGGUUGCCACUAAAGAAGUAGCCCUACAAACUUUCAACAAUAAUGCUAGAGAUAUCAACAAAAAAUUGAUUACGAAAUGACAUGAAAGUGGAAUACUAUGAUUCAAACUUUUGGAAAUGAUUUCAG
RNAcentral lists this long non-coding RNA (1065 nucleotides) under Prunus persica (peach). RNAcentral describes it as "long non-coding RNA (PPER_LNC008413)". The record is from RNAcentral. Lineage: Eukaryota; Viridiplantae; Streptophyta; Magnoliopsida; Rosales; Rosaceae.